CAGACAACGAAACCAGGAAGCAUCAUGUUGCUUUCUGUACUACCCUUCGAACCGAACCCCAACACGCAGAGCUUUCGCAAGCCUCGUAUAACCAGUUCGUCAUUCUUUUGGCCGCUGAGAAGCAGCCUUCUGGGAUCAAGAAUAUCUCUCAGAGGCCGCAGGUGAUAAAAUCAUUAGGAAUGUGUUUUUGGUUCUUCAUCGACAGGAUUGAAGCCCUGGCAACUUUGAACAAGGAAAGGCGAUUAACGGUCGAUUAAUUGGAUUCAGGGAUCGGACAAAGGGUAACUAUUAACUAUCUAGUCCCGAUAUGAUAUAGGGUCAAAUCUGAUCAGGCUCACAGCUUAUCCAUUUCAUUUCUGAGAACUAAAUAACUAACUGCCAACUACCUUUUUAGUAAUUAUCUAGGAUAACUAACUAUUAGAUAUCGACUCAACGUGGUGUUCAGUGAUUUUGAGGUAUUAUUCAGAUAAAUAUAUAAUUCCGACAGGGCCAGCCCUGGUUAGCUUAUUUAGACAC
This 516-nucleotide small RNA is filed under the name Histoplasma ohiense. RNAcentral's name for it is "hypothetical lncRNA". Lineage: Eukaryota; Fungi; Ascomycota; Eurotiomycetes; Onygenales; Ajellomycetaceae. The record is from RNAcentral.